AUUACACUACGAGUUCUACAAGGAACAAGGAACCUCUUUUAACUUAUCUUUGAAUUCCCAACACUUGGCAUAGUGUGAGCAUAGAUAUGACAUACAGAAAAUAUUUGCUGGAUGGACAAAUGAGUGAAUCUACAGUUCCCACUCGUACUAUUUCUCUGGGGCAAUCUAGUUAUUCAUGGACAGUGAGAUGUGGAGGAAGGACUGUUUUUUCUGUUAUUUUUUCAGAAGCCAUCAUACAGUGAUGCUUACAGUGUCAAACCUUUACAAUAAGGUAGAGCUGUACCUGAAAAGGAAACCCUGUUGGUGUAAUGGUAAAGGGCUACAGCUGCCAACUAGAAGUUCGGCAGUUCAAAUCUACCAGGUGCUCCUUGGAAACUCUAUGGGGGCAGUUCUACUUUGUCCUGUUGGGUUGCUAUGAGUUGGAAUUGACUUGAUGGCAAUGGGUUUUGUUUUUUUGUUUUGGUAACCGAAAGGGAUUUUCAUAGGUGAAAUCCUCCCUAUUCUUUUACUUCGUCCACACUGCAAGGUUUAGAGUACUAAUGAGAAAUUUCAACAUCAAAUAUUUGUAUCUUAACUUUUAUUUCAUCUUCUUUUCUGUUCUUUAUCAUUUAUCAAACCUUUUCGGUUUUUGCACGCCACCAGUGCUGCUCUUUAUUUGAUGUGGACCUCAUACAUGUUAUUGACUUCCUAAUAUUUCUCUCUAACCCCAAUAUGAUUCAUACUUGUCUCAAAAUUAUAGAUAAUUGAUUUUAUGACAUAAAGAAAGAGAGCGAUUGAGUAAUAUGAAUAUGCCUGAAAAUAAAAAAUGCCAGAGAGAGGGACAAUAUUCCAGUUAGUGGGAAACAUAAAGGAAAUCAGACAUUGGAGGCUGACUACAGUUUACAUUUGUUUGCUAGAUCUUCUCCUAUAAUACAAAGACAAAUAAAUUAUUUUCCCAUGUGGCUUGGAGAAUGUUACUACUAACAGUGUUCCAGGGGAGAAGACUGUAUCCCUCCCUCUGGCACCAAACCCUCUAUUAGUGGAAAUGAAGCAGCCAUAGUCUCCCCUUUUCCCUGAGAUUCCAAUGGCAGGAAAAACACUGUAGGACCUUGCAGGAGCUCACUGAGUUUCAACCUUUGCUACUAACUUUGCCUCUUAUAUUUUACUUUCCCUGCGUCUUUACUCCUCUCUAAUGAUAUUUGAAUAAUUUGGAAAUCCUGGGGGGAAAUACCGCUAUUGCUCAUUUUAUAAAUAAACUUCUUCCUCUACUAUCUAGCCUUCUAAUAAUACAUUGGGAUGCUGCGUUUAGAGGUAGCUUGCACAGUUUACUUGUCAUGAUUGCUUUUCACAAUUACCUUCUUGAUUUUUGCCUCUUUAUUUCUCUGAUUAUCUUACUUUUCCUACUUCCAAUCAUUUCACUAAAGAUUUCUUGGUAUGGACUUUUUCCUGGGUGAAUCUUCACUUUUGAUAUUGGAAAGUCAGUGGUUUAAAGUCUCUCUCAGCGUAUUCAGUAGAGUUAAAUAUCAAGGACAUUACCCAUAAUUUAGUAAAGCGUUAGCUUUUACACUACUGAAAGUGAAAACUGUUGAUUUAAUAAAAGUCCUAUAUAUUCUGUGUUAGUCCAAUGCAUAUGAAAAUUACAAAAAGAUAAUAAACUUAAAGGUGGAGCUAAUUUUGCUGAAAUGCAGACACGAAUGAUUUUUAUCAGUCGGUCAUGUGUACAACACAUUUGCCCAUUGUUAAUUGUUCCCUACUCAGCUGCUACCAGAAGGUUGGAGGUUUGAGUCUACUCAGAGUCAUCUCAGAAGAAGGUCCUGGUGACCCACUUCUGAAAGGUCACAGAGCACAAUUCUACUCUGACACACAUGCAGUUGGUAUGAGUCAGAAUUGACUCCAUGACAACUGGAACUGGAAAUUGCUCCCUAAGGGUCUUUUUAAAUGACACUCAAUAAGCUCCAAAACUUUUGCACCUACUACUUGGAUGUUUUAACCCCCCAAAAGGGAGUGUUUUAUGAAGAAGAUAUUCAAUUCUGGAAUUUGAAAAAAUCUUAGGGGAGGUCAUGGUCUAGUCAUUAACAGCUGUUGUAUCUCCUCUGGAGUGUCUCCGCGGAGUGAGAAGCUAAUGCUUGGUGCCUCUUUCGCAAAGGAAAACUCCUUUCAUUCCAUAGUCUUCCAUUUCUUCCUGGGCUCAGUCUGGUUGUCAUAAAGCUCACAGAUACACACUGGAGUUUCUUCCUAACCUCACUAGCACUUUGAGAUCUUUCUUAAAUUUGGCAAAAUAUUGUUUAUUUAAACCUGAUAGCUUUACUUUUCCACGCUCUUCAGUCUUGUUUCCUACGCUCCCAUUUUGCUUCUCUGUCUUCUUCUCUUCUCCUAACUCCCCGGUAAUUCAAUAAUAAAGUGUGAGCAAUCUCAGGAGUUUUUUCUCUGGCUUGUUCUUCUUCUUAUAUUUUUUAAUUAGUGGCCUUUUCCCUAUUCUAAAGUUUAUUCGUUGAUUUUUAUUGUUUGGAAUGAAAGGUAACUGAAAAGAAAAUCAGUUUCUGCACAUACAGAAUUAAAAAGAAAUCACAUCAGAAGAAUCACUUCCACACUCAUCAGGAGCUAACUGACCUAAAGAAGUGAGAAACAUACGAAAUAGACAAUGGAUUGUGUUGGCCUCUAUCAAUACAAACAUUUAGGAGUUCAAACAUGCCAGCUGGGAAUUGGUGCUGCUGUUAUAUGAACUAGGAAGACCAUCACUGAAGGCCAUCUGAACCUCAUGUCCCUCGAAUUGUAUGUUGGUGGUUUGGCUCUGCUGACCCAGUCAUUAAUCUAAGCUUCUUUGUUUAAACUUAACUUCCUAGGCUGCUUUUCAUCUGCUAUUUUAUUCUUAUUUCCUUUAUUUUCUUUUUCAUCUUUUCAACUUUUCUCUGAGACAGAAAAAUGUAUUAAUUUGGUCAUACUUCCAGAGCUUAUAAAUGGCAGAUCUGGAACUGGGAUAAAAGUUUUUGUUUGGCAAUAUGGUUUUUGUAUCAGUCUGCCUUUUCCGUAGGCAUAGAGGGAAAGGUGACACAUUUAUUUAAGAAAUGUUUCUUAAUACAUAACAUGCUGGGGAUAGAAGGUUGAGAAGAACACUGCGCCUGACCUUGAAUGAUUUAACAGUGUAGGAAAGCAAUUGAUUAGAUAAAUCAUAAUUGUAUGGAUGGGAGAUUAAUAGAGGUAUUUUGAAGGUGCAUAUUUCUUAGUACCAACUUCUCUUAUGUCUCUUUACGGGAUACUAUGAUAUUGUGGAAAGAGUCUGUGUUUUGGGAUUAAAGACCUAGAUGGAAAAGGUAAAAUUAUAAACCUAAUGGAGGAAAAAGAGACACAAACUAGGAUGUUCAUCCAAGUGUCAUUUGUGGCUCUAGUGAGAUGGAGGCAGCUAGGGAUCCGUCAUAAGAACAAUGGAUGAGGACAGUACAUACAAUGGAAUACCUGGCAUCUCUUAGAAGCAACAUGCUAGAUGUAUACAGAGGAAAAUGAAGAAAAGUAGGUAUUUCUUAAAAAUGUUGCUAGAUGAAAAAGUAAGAAAUAGAACGUGAUCUAAAGUACAAAAUAGUUGUGUAAAUUAAAAACAUAUACACACAAAACAAGACUAGGAAUUUUAAAAGAAUAGAUGCAUACCCAAUUUUAGAGUGUGUGCCCAUGGUGGUGAGGGAAAUGGGGCCAGGGGAAAGAGUGAAGGGGAAAAAGAACAUUAACAAAAGGUCUGAGAGCGUGCAUGUGGGAUUGAUUUUGUCCUGAGUUUCAAGCCUGGAUUUGCUUGCAGUUCAUAAAUUAUUUUGCUCAACUAUGUCUCAGUUUCUUCAUAAUUAAAUUCUUUUAAGCAAUACCUGGUUCAUGGAAUUAUUGUGAGAUUUAAUGAGAACAGAUGUGAAGUGUCGGGCUCUUAGAGAUACUCUUCCUCUUCAUCUCUUUUCUGACCUAUAUCACUUCUGUUCAACUUGUACUUUUUUAAAACACUGCUACAUGGAUUUUCACUUAACUUUAUUUCUUUUAUCAUUCCUUUCCUAUAUUCAUCUUCAGACUAUAACCACAAAAUGUACUGUUCUUGCCCAAUAGGCUGCUAUAGCCAAUCCCAGCAGACUGUUGAAAUAAACUCAUUAUUCCUCCCCUGCCUCUCAACUCUAGUUGGACUUUUCACUUUCUAAAAAUUCAGGUUGAAUUACAAGAGUCUCAAAGUGAUAUAUUAUAAUCAGAAAUAAAAAGAACAAGCACAGGAAAGUUUUCUGGCCACAUCUAAGGAUACUAGAAUUAAGAUUAAAAAAUACUUACCCGGACAGGGAGAAGUCAUGCCUAAAAACACAAUGAAACAAUUUAGAUAAUAAUAAUCUAGAUUAACAACCCAGUUCCUAUUCAUUUUUUUUCUAGAGUAACAUCAUAAAUGAUUUCUUAAGGUAAAGCCAAAACUUUUAAGUCAUGUAUUUUUGGGAAAAUGUUGCUUUGGGGUUUCAUCAUUCUCUGCUUUAAUGAAAACAGUUCUACCUCUUAGGUUUCUGUGAACACUCAAAAAUUUUUUCACUGCAUAUGUCAACUAAACACCUCAUGGGGUUUUCUUUCUUGGUUCAGAGGCUUAGGGUCAUGGUUUUGUGGGACGUUCCAGUCAGUUGGCCUGUCAUGGAUUGAAUUGUGUCGCCUCGAUGCAUCUGUCCACUUGGCUAGGUCAUGAUUCCCAGUAUUGUAUGAUCGUCUACCAUUUUAUCAUCUGAUGUGAUUUCCCUAUGUAUUGUAAAUCCUAUCACUGUGAUGUAAUAAAAUGGAUUAGCAGCAGUUAUACUGAUGAGAUCUACAAGAUUAGAUAGUGUCUUAAGCCAACCUCUUUUGAGAUUUAAAAAAGAGAAGCAAGCAGAGAGACAUGAGGAUCUCAUACCACCAAGAAAUCAGUGCCAGGAGCAGAGUGUGUCCUUUGGACCUGAGAUUCCUGCGCUGAGAUGCUCCCAGACCAAGGGAAGACUGAAGAUAAGGACAUUGUUCCACAGCCGACAGAGAGAGAAAGCCUUCCCAUGGAACAAGCACCCUGAAUUCAGACUUCUAGCCUACUGGACUGUGAGAGAAUAAAGUUCCCUUUGUUAAAGCCAUGCACUUAUGCUAUUUCUGUUAUAGCAGCACUAGAUGACCAAGACAUGGCCUAAUACUGAUUUUAGUGUUUCUGAAUAUUGCUUUUAUUGCUUCUGUUCUACCUCCUUGCUUUUUGUGUAGUGCCUGGGGUCUUAAAAGCUUUGAGUGGCCAUCCAAGUUACAACAACUGGUUUCUAUUUGCCUGGAGGAGCAGAGAAUGAAGUAGGAUUAAGAAUCGGAGGGAGAAACUAGAAUGCUUGUCGAAUUGCCUUCGUGAGCAACUGCCUCCUUUGCCAGGAGACCAGAAGAACUGAAUGGUACCUGGCUACCACUACUGUAUUUUUUUUUUCUUUAUUUUAUUGUAUUUAUGGUGAAAGUUUACACAGCAAAUUAGGUUCCCAUUUAAAAAUUUCUGUACGUACUAUUCAGUGACAUUGUUUACAUUUUCCACAAUGUGUCAGUAUUCUCAUUAUUUCCAUCCUGGUUGUUCUGUUUCCACUAAUGUAACUUCCUUGUCCUCCCCGCCCCCCUUUACUGUCUCAUCUUUGCUUUAGGGUAAAUAUCAGCUUUUUGGUUUCAUAUAGGUGAUUAUUUAAAGGAGCACAGUACUCAUGGGCGAUAUUAUUUUAUGAGCCAAUCUAUUAUUUGGCUGAAAGGUGACAUCCAGGAGUGACUUCACUUCCAAGUUUAAAGGGUAUCUCAGGGCAAUAGUCUUAGGGAAUCCUCUAGUCUCUACCAGUUUAGUAAGUCUGGCCUUUUUUUUUUGGAAUUUAAGAUUUGUCCUACAUUUUUCUCCCAUUCUACCCGGGACCAUCUAUUGGGUCUGUGAUCAGAACAGUCAUUAGUAGUAGCCAGUCACCAUCUAGUUCUAGUCUCAGGAUAGAUGAGGCCAUAGGUCAUGUGGACUAUUAGUCUUGUAGACUAUUUUCUUAGAGUCUUUGGUUUCCUUCUAUCUCUUUUGUUCCAGAUGAGUACAGACAAUAGUUGUAUCUUAGAUGGCUGCUCACAAGCUUUUAAGACCCCAGAAGCUACUCACCAAACUAGGAUGUAGAACAAUGUCUUUAUGAACCAUGUUAUGCCAAUUGACUGAAGUAUCCCGCAAGACUAUGGUCCUAAGCCUUCAAACCCAGUAAACCAAUUCCACAAGGUGUUUGGUUAUGUCUAGGAAGUAUCUAUAACUGUGCCUCUAAGUACUUUAUUAUAUACAUGAAUACACAUGCAGCCCACACAAAUAUGUAUUUACAUUUGUCUACAGAUACACCUAUACAUGCACACUCAAUCUCACACGUGUCUUCCUAUACACAUAUAUGCAUACAUAUCACCUAUGUAGCGACACAUAAUUUUUAGUUGCUAUUACUGUUGUUAGGAAUUGUAUAUGUUAUAGAAUUUUCCAAAAUUGUCCCUUAUUCUUGUGUGCUUCUUAAUGUCACCAUUUACCUUGGUCAAGUUAUGUGGGCUUCACUCAUAUUGAGUAUUGCCUUUCCCAUCACCAAAAAUAGCAAGUGUCUACUAACUAGAAAGUUAUUUCCCCUACAUCCACAUUGCAUCUCUGGCAACCAUCAAAGAACGUUGCGUUCUGUGUGUAUUCCUAUUCUUGUCUUUUUUUCAAAAGUGGGACCAUGCAAUAUUUGCCCUUUUGUGAUUGACUUAGUUCACUCAUCAUAAGGUCCUCUAGAUUCAUCUAUGUUAUAAGAUGUUUCAGGGAUUCAUCAUUAUUCUUUAUAGCUGUAUUGUAUUCCAUUGUAUGUAUGUACCACAAUUUGUUUAUCCAUUCAUCCAUUUAUGGGCACUUAGGUUAUUUCCACUUUUUGCUAUUGUGAAUAAUGCUGAAAUGAACAUGUGUGUGCAUAUGUCUAUUUGUGUCACUGCAAUUAGAUUUCUAAGGUAUAUGCCUAUGAGUGGGAUUGCUGAAUCAUAAGGUAUUUCUACUUCUAGAUUUUGAGGAGCCCCAUACCAUUUUUCAUAGUGAUUGUGCCAUUUUACAAUUCCAUAGGCAGUAGAUCAGGGUUCCAAUCUUCCCACAACCUCACCAGCAUUUGUUGCUUUCUGUUUUUUUGAUCAGGGCCAUUUUUGCAGGGGUGAGAUGGAUUGCAAUUUUUGAUUUUCAUGUCUCUAAUAGCUAUGGUUGCAAGCAUCUUUUCAUGUGUUUGUUAAUUACCUGAAUGUCCUCUUUGGUGAAGUGUAUGUUCAUGUCCUUUGCUCAUUUUUGAUUGGAUUAUUUAUCUUUUGUUGUUGAGUUGUUGAAGUUUUCUAUAUAUUUUGGAGAUUAGAUGCUUAUCAGAUAUGUUGUUUCCAAAGAUUUUUUUCCAGUCCGUAUGUUCUCUUUUACUCUUUUGAUAAAGUCUUUUGAUGAGCAUAAGUAUUUAAUUUUUAGGAGGUCCAGUUAUUUUUCUUAUUUUGUUCAUGCACUUGUAGUUGUAUAUUAUAGUAUAUUUCUGCAAAAAAUUAGGUCCCAUAGUUCUGUCCCUCUAUUAUCUUCCAGGAACUUUAUAGUAUUAGCUAUAAUAUUUAGGUUUUUGAUCCAUUUUGAGUUAGUUUUUGUGUAUAGUGUGAAGUGUGGGUCCUAUUUCAUUUUUCUCCAAAAGGAUACCCAGUUUUGCUAUCACCAUUUGUUAAAGAGACUUUCUUUCCCAUUGAAUGGAUUUGUCCCCUUGUAAAUCAGCUGCCCACAGAUGGAUGGAUUUACUUCUGGGUUCUCAAUUCUAUUUCAUUGGUCUGUGUGUCAUAGUAUCAGUACCAGGCUGUUUUGAUAUCUGUAGCUGUAUAGUAUGUUUUGAGAUCCGGAAGUGUGAGGUCUCCUACUUUGUUCUUUGUCAAUAUUGUUCUGGCUAUUUGGGGCCUCUUUCCUUCCCAUAUAAAGUUGGUGAUUCGUUUUUACAUUUCAGUAAAGAAUGUUGCUGGGAUUUGGAUCAGGAUUGCAUUAUACCUAUAGAUCACUUUGUAUAGUAUUGACAUUUUCACAAUGUUAAAUCUUCCAAUCCAUGAACAUGGACUGUUCUUCCAUUUAUGUAGGGCUCUUUUAUUUUUUUGCAGUAGUGUUUUAUGGUUUUCCUUGUACAGGUCUUUUACAUCUCUGGUUAGGUUUUUUCCUAUGUAUUUUAUUCUUUUGGGGGCUAUUGUAAACAGUAUUUUUUUCUUGAUUUCCUUUUUAGAGUUCUUGUUAGUGUAAAGGAACCCAACUGACUUUGGUGUGUUGAUCUUGUACCCUGCCACUUUGCUGAAUGCUUUCAUUCGAUCUGGUAGGUUUCUUGUGGAAUCUCUGGGGUUUUCUAUGUAUAGGACUAUGCAAAGGUAUUUGACUGUGUGGAUCAUAACAAAUUAUGGAUAACAUUGUGAAGAAUGGGAAUUCCAGAACACUUAAUUGUGCUCAUGCAAAACCUGAGCAAAUAAUCUGAGAAACUGGACUAUAUGAAGAAGAAUGCAGCAUCAGGAUUUAUGGAAAACUCAUUAACAACCUGUGAUAUGCAGAUGACACAAUCUUGCUUGCUGAAAGUGAAGAGGACUUGAAGCACUUCCUUAUGAAGAUCAAGGACUACAGCCUUCGGUAUGGAUUACACGUCAACAUAAAGAAAACAAAAAUCCUCACAACUGAACCAAUAAGCAACAUCAUGAUAAAUGGAGAAAAGAUUGAAGUUGUCAAGGAUUUCAUUUUACUUGAAUCCACAAUUAACGCCCACAGAAGCAGCGGUCAAGAAGUCAAAUGACAUAUUGCAUUGGGCAAAUCUGCCGCAAAAGACCUCUUUAAAGCGUUGAAAGCAAAGCUGUCACCUUGAAUACUAAGGUGUGCCUGACCUAAACCAUGAUAUUUUCAAUCACCUCAUAUGCAUGUGAAAACUGGAAAAUCAAUAAGAAAGACUGAGGAAGAAUUGAUGACUUUGAAUUAUGGUGUUGGGGAAGAAUAUUGAAUGUACCAUGAACUGCCAAAAGAAUGAACAAGUCUUGGAAGAAGUACAGCCAGAGUGCCCCUUGGAAGUGAGGAUGGCAAGACUUCGUGUCACGUGCUUUGGACAUGUUAUCAAGAGGGACCAGUCCCUGGAGAAGGACAUAAUGCGUGGUAAGGAGAGGGUCAGUGAAAAAGAGAAAGGCCCUUGACUAGAUGGAUUGACACAGUGGCUGCAACAAUGGGCUCAAGCAUAGCAACAGUUGUGAGGAUGACAGAAGACUGGGCAGUGUUUUGUUCUGUUGUACAUAGGGUCGCUGACUCAACAGCACCUAACAACAAACAACAACAAAAACAGGAUCAUGUCGUCUGUGAACAGGGAUAAUUUUAACUCUUCCUUUUCAAUCUGGAUACACUGUAAUUUUCUUUUUUGCCUUAGGCUCUGGCUAGGACUUCCAGUAAAAUAUUGAAUAAGAAUGGUGAUAAUGGGCAUCCUUGUCUCAGUCUCAUUCUCGAGGGGAAGGCUGUCAGUCCUCCACCGAGCAUAAUGUUCGCAGUUAGUUGAGCAUAUAUGCCCUUAAUUAUGUUGAGGAAUUUCUCUUCUAUUCCUAUUUUGCUGAGAAUUUUUAUCAAGAAAAGGUGUUGGAUUUUACCAAAUGCCUUUUCUGCAUCGUUUGAGAUGAUCAUCUGAUUCUUUUCCUUUGUUUUAUUUAUGUGGUGAACUACAUUGAUUGAUUUUCUAAUGUGGAAUCACCCUUACAUUUUUGGUCUGAAUCCCACCUGAUCAUGAUGCGUUAUUUUUCAGAUAUGCUGUUGAAUUCUGUUGACUAGAAUUUUGUUGAGAAUUUUUGAGUCUAUAUUCAUGAGGGAUAUUGGUCUGUAAUUUUCCUUCUUGUGAUGUCUUAACCUGGCUUUGGUAUAAGGUAUAUGGUGGCUUCAUAGAAUGAGUUAGGGAGUAUUCCUUUUUUUUCUGUAUUCUGGAAGAGUAUUAGCAGAAUUGGUAUCAACACUUCUCUGAAUGGUCGGUAGAAUUCCUCAGUGAAGGCAUCUGGACCAAGGCUUUCUUUUUGUUGGAAGCUUUUUGAUGACGUCUUCAGUGUCGUCUUUAGUUAUGCAUCUGCUUAGAUUUUCUACCUCUAUUUGUGUGAGUUUAUAUAGGUAGUGUGUUUCUAGAAAUUUGUCCAUUUCUUUUAGGUUUUCAAAUUUGUUGGAGUACAAUUUUUCAUAAUGUUCUGUUAUGAUCCUCUUUAUCUCAGUUGGAUCUGUUGUAAUGUCAUCCAUUUCAUUUCUUAUUUUGGUUAUUUGUGUCUUUUCGUUUUUUUCCUUUGUUAAUCUGGCCAGUGGUUUGUCAAUUUUAUUUAUCCUCUCAAAGAAGCAACUUCUAGUCUUUUUGAUUCUUUCGAUUGUUUUUCUGUUUAUUUCAAUUAUUUCUGCUCUGAUCUUUAUUAUUUCCUUUCAUUUGGUAGCUUUGGUCUUCUUUUACUCUGCUUUUUCUAUUCAAGUUCUUGGCUUAAGUUAUUGUUUUUGGGCCUUUCUUAUUUUUUUAAUUUUUAUUGUGUUUUAAGUGAAAGUUUACAAAUCAAGUCAGUCUCUCAUACAAAAAUUUAUAUACGACUUGCUAUAUACUCCUAGUUGCUCUCCCCUUGAUGAGACAGCACAAUCCUUCCCACCACUCUCUCUUUUUGUGUCCAUUCGGCCAACUUCUUACCCCCUCUGCCCUCUCAUAUCCCCUCCAAACAGGAGAUGCCAACACAGUCUCAUGUGUUUACUUGAUCCAAGAAGCCCAUUCUUCACCAGUAUCAUUUUCCAGUCCAAUCCUUGUCUGAAGAGUUGGCUUUGGGAAUGGUUCCUGUCUUGGGCCAACAGAAGGUCCGCGGACAAUGACCACAAGGGUCCUUCUAGUCUCAGUCAGACCAUUAAGUCUGGUCUUUCUACAAGAAUUUGGGGUCUGGAUCCCACUUCUCUCCUGCUCCCUCAGGGGUUCUCUGUUGUGUUCCCUGUCAGGAGAGUCAUCGGUUGUAGCCAGGCGCCAUCUAGUUCUUCUGGUCUCAGACUGAUGUAGUCUGUGGUUUAUGUGGCCCCUUCUGUCUCUUGGGCUCAUAAUUACCUUGUAUCUUUGGUGUUCUUCAUUCUCCUUUGCUCCAGGUGGGUUGAGACCAAUUGAUGAAUCUUAGAUGGCCGCUUGUUAGCAUUUAAGACCCCAGACACCACUCUCCAAAGUGGGAUGCAGAAUGUUUUCUUAAUAGAUUUUAUUAUGCCAAUUGAC
Long non-coding RNA from Loxodonta africana (African savanna elephant), 11201 nucleotides. RefSeq lists it as uncharacterized. The transcript has 3 exons. Lineage: Eukaryota; Metazoa; Chordata; Mammalia; Proboscidea; Elephantidae. The record is from RefSeq and is a predicted model, not a curated record.